GGCGAGGUAGCUCAGGCGGUUAGAGCGCAGGAUUCAUAACCCUGAGGUCAAGGGUUCAACUCCCUUUCUCGCUACGA
This 77-nucleotide transfer RNA is filed under the name Chitinophaga filiformis. RNAcentral's name for it is "tRNA_Met_CAT". It matches the Rfam family "tRNA". Rfam says of the family: Transfer RNA (tRNA) molecules are approximately 80 nucleotides in length. Their secondary structure includes four short double-helical elements and three loops (D, anti-codon, and T loops). Further hydrogen bonds mediate the characteristic L-shaped molecular structure. tRNAs have two regions of fundamental functional importance: the anti-codon, which is responsible for specific mRNA codon recognition, and the 3' end, to which the tRNAs corresponding amino acid is attached (by aminoacyl-tRNA synthetases). tRNAs cope with the degeneracy of the genetic code in two manners: having more than one tRNA (with a specific anti-codon) for a particular amino acid; and 'wobble' base-pairing, i.e. permitting non-standard base-pairing at the 3rd anti-codon position. RNAcentral also lists the same sequence under 1 other name. The record is from RNAcentral. Lineage: Bacteria; Pseudomonadati; Bacteroidota; Chitinophagia; Chitinophagales; Chitinophagaceae.